AUGGCUCACAACCCACAAAUUGUAUGCUGGAACAUGAGAGGCUUAAACAACCCAGCCAAGAGGAAAGUAGUUAGGGAGUUCUUUGCUUCGUUGAGAGUCAAUAUGGUGUGUCUACAGGAGACCAAGUUGGAGACCGUGGAUCAGUUUAUAGUAAUGCAAUGUCUUGGACCAUCUUUUGAUGGUUUUGCUUACUUGCCUGCGAUUGAGACGCGUGGUGGUAUUUUCCUUGCUUGGGACUCGACAUGCGUGACGGUUGAUCACCUGCAGUACGAUGUUAACUUCCUAACCGGCAAAGUACGGCAGCUUGAUGGAACCGAGUGGUGGAUCUCUGUGGUGUAUGCCCCCAGGGUGAUGAGCUAA
Molecule: ribosomal RNA, 360 nt
Filed under: Triticum aestivum (bread wheat)
Lineage: Eukaryota; Viridiplantae; Streptophyta; Magnoliopsida; Poales; Poaceae
Description: partial small subunit ribosomal RNA
Source: RNAcentral